GUAAAACUUCUAAAGUACCUGGCACACGUAAAGCCCUAUUGGUUUAUGGUUUGGGGAAUACCAAACUUCCUGUUUCUCUUCCUCCGUCUCUUAGUGCCUUCCACACCAUUAUCUUCUCUCAUAAGCUUUAAUCAAAGCAGAAAGAUCCCAAUAUACUAUCCUUGGCCCCCUUUUUCUCAUUCAGGAACAAAUAAUCGAUGACUCUUAGAGCUAUGUGGCACUUAGGAUUAGUAACAUGUUGGUGACAUGCCAUUCUUUUACUGAAAGAACACUGAGGUCUGGAGAAGUAACUAUGCGUGUCAUCCCCAGAGCAAUUUGACAGCUGAGCAAAGCACAAUGGCAUUAGCUGUUAUUUGUGGCUAAACACCUUUAAAAAGUCCCCAAUAUAUUUUCAUUUUUAGAAAUCCCCACUUUAGACUUAAAAUGAUCUGCUUCUAUGAGGAUUUUUGAUAUGAUACAUUAAUCAAACUUAACUAUGUGCCCCUUAAGAAUAUUGUCAGUUCUAUCAAUCUUCAUAGCUCACCCAGUGCUAGGUGAGUGUUUUGAACACGGAAUGUGUUUGUGCUUCAGGCAUUCUGUCUCUAAGGAUGGAAUGGAAAACCCUUCCCUUUCAAGCUUUACAGGUACGUUGUGUCAAGUGGAGAAGAUCAGUUCUGGUUAGCAGCUUUAUUGCCACAGAAAGGACACUGGCAGAUACUUCUCAUAGCUCUAGUCAUGCUGAAUUCCCAGAAAGGGGUGUCAGAAUGAAUUGCUCUAAGCUCUUCUCCCUGGUAGAAGAACCUGUGACUUCUCUUGGAGAUCUCUUCAAUUUUCGGAAGCUGAUGCUUACAACAAUGGAGAUUAGCAAUACCUGGACAGAGUUGAGCUUCAAAGGAUACUGAGAAAUGGCUAAAGCAGAUGAUAAAGAAAAAAUGAGGAAAUGCUGUGAAGAACUAAUAGAACGUUUCAGAAGCAGAACAAGUCGAGAGCAGUGAUGACCCUUUUCUUCCUGCUAGUACCUCCUGUCUGUCUGGCUGAACUCACCAUCAGAUGAUGUCUUGAACCUCACCUAGAUGGGCUGGUGGUGUGUGGCCAGGUUAAGAGCACCAACAGGAGUAAGAAAGUGACCUGCCUGGUUUUACCGUGUGCACUAGGGGAGGGGUUGAAAGCUUUCGGUUGAUACAUCACCUCUGGGAGUUGAAGAAGAAUGCAAUUAAGAGAGCUAAAGAAGUCAGUAGGUAUCUCUCCUGAACAAUUCUGGUUUUCUUCUAAUAGCUUUUACAAUUUUUACCUCUGUUAUGAAAUGCAAACUUUUAACCAAUAUUAGUAAUAGUAAUCUCAAAUCUCAUCAUCAUCAAAAUCUUAUUUAUGAAAUGUAGGAGUUAGUUCAUAUACAGCCUUAGCCUUUUCCACAUUAUAAAAUAUAUUCCAUAUAUAUGUGUGAUCUUCAUUUAAUAUUCAAGUAAAUGUUGUAAGAUAUUGUUAUUUUUAUUCUAACAUUUCACAGGUAUAGAAUCUGAAACUCAGAGGUCAACUGAUGUGUCAAAGAUACCUCCACAAAUCAGUACCUUGAUUAAAACUAAAAUUGGAGUCAUCUUCAUAUCUUCAUCUUUCUCCCUCUUCAUUAGGACCGAUUGUAGUCUGUUUCCCUCUCACUCACUUGCAAUCUUUAUUGCUUUAGUGUUGCAUUUGAUUUUUAUCUUUGUUUUUGUUUUAAAUACUGUCAUUAAAGUCAUAGAAAAAUCUAAAGUAAAACUGGUUGAAUAAAAAUUUUAAAAUCGACUCUAAUGUAAUAAACCAGACAAAAAUGAUACUUUACAUGUUAUAUCUUCCCUUUAAACUACAAAUAUUCAUUGAGUGUAUACCCUGUAUUAGGCUGUUGGAAUAAAACAGGGAAGAAGACAGAAGAAACUGCACCGCCAUCUUAGAUCUUGCAGCCAAAUUCCUCUGAACUUUUCUCUAAAGACGUGCUCUGGAAAAAUGUUGAUCAUUUUCCUACAUCAUGGAGGUCUUUUCAUGACCACCUUUGUCUAGACAAUGUCCUGUUUUUAGGUGCACGUUUGAGGGCUGGAGUCUCUGACCCACAGUGCUGCAGCCUGCACGUGGUUUGUCCUGACUUCUUUGCUACUUCACUUUUCGUAAGGCUCUGAGAGUGCAGGCCCUUGUGGGUGGACACUGCAGGGUGAGAGGAAGAAGUAAACUACUUUUUUCCGUUUCUGAUGGGGGUGUGGGUCAGCAGCUAUAAGCAACAGGGACCAUGGGGGGCCUCAGACUUCAGCACCUGAGAGGCAGUUUCAGUCGUAUUGGGGAGAUGCAGGCAUCUGGGUUGCUGCACAUCACCAGGGCAGGGUUCUCUCAGCAGCCCUGGAGUGCAGAGUUCCCAUCAGCUCAGCAGUGAGGGGCACAUGGGGCUCCAGUGGUGAGGACUCUUGGUCCUUGGAUGACAACACUCCCCUGCCCACUUCUCCAGCCUUCCCUGUAACCCUUUGCCACCUCUAACCAAUCUUCUGUGUUACAUCUCUUCGGUUUGCAAUAUGUAGUGUUCGUAUAUGACUGGACAGUAUCUACUGGAGUUAAUAUCUAUCAGAGUAAUUAUAUCACAAUUGCAAUCUUCUCCUAAGAGUGAAUAGUGACAUUAAAAAUUUCAACAUUAUAAAUUAUGCAGAAAUAAAACUAAUUAUACAAAAAAUACACUCUGAAUGUCAGUUUUUCCCUGAGACAAUCUACCAUUUGAUAUACGGUGAUUCACACUUCUUAAUAUACAACAUUGAAUUACUUUUCCAAAAGCCUCUUCAAAUUUUGCUGCAGAAUUAAACUUCACUUGCACCAGCUCUGAAUUAUGUGUGCUUUUCCUUCUUGGUCAAUUUCAUAGGUGUAUCAUUAUUUGUCUUUUUUAAUUAAUAUGUUUAUAUAACUUUUCAUGUUUAUCCAUGUAACUACUGCUUCUAUUGAAAUGUUUUCUUCAUAAAUAUAAAUGUGUUUUUGGUAUGAAAAUAAUAACUGGCCAGAUGCGGUGGCUCACACCUGUAAUCCCAGCACUUUGAGAGGCCGAGGUGGGUGGAUCACCUGGGGUCAGGAGUUCGGGACCAGCCUGGCCAGCAUGGUGAAACCCCAUCUCUACUAAAACUACAAAAUUAGCUGGUGUGGUAGCACGUGCCUGUAAUCCAAGCUACUUGGGAGGCUGAGACAGGAGACUCAGUCAAACCUAGGAGGCAGAAGUUGCAGUGAGCCAAGAUCACGCUAUUGCACUCCAGCCUGGGCAAAAAGAGUGAAACUCUGUCUCAAAAAGAAAAGAAAAAAAAUAGUAACUCUUUGUGAAUAGUAUCAACUAAAAUAUUUUUAUUUCAGUUUCAUUCUGAUAUUUUGUGUCAUCAGAAUUUUUUAAAGUAUUUUGUUUAAUAUAUUAACUUUAAUAAUUUCGUUAACUGUUUUGUGCUUACAAAGUCUUUAUGCAUUUGGGGAUUAUGUAAAGCAUCUACCUUUACACUUUUAAUGAGUUUCAGAGGUUUUUUUGGUACCUUUGAGUUAUAAUACAAAAAUAAUUUAUUUGGGUGUGAUAUGCAGUGAAUUGCUAACAUUAUUGCUUUUAAGUUAAAAUUAAAUUCCAAUGUUGAAUGGUAUUUUCUUUUAUUCAUUAAUUUCAAAAAUAAUUAGUAACUGUUUGUUCCAGGCACUAUCUAGGUUUAUGAUGUUUGAAACAAAGAUUCUUCCCACACAGCAUUUAUAUACUAGUGGUAAAUACAGGCAAUAAACUAAUAAAUAUGUAAUGAAAUGUCAAGUAUUAAUAAUCACAGUAAAUAAAAAAUAAAGGCAGAGAGAUGAGAUAGGAAUGAUUAGCGAAUCUAUUUAACACAGGCUAGUUAGGAGCCCUUUAUUUAGAAGGUGAAAUUUCAUCAGAUCCGUAAAUGAAACAAUGGAGUCACUCGUAAACAACGGGGCAGAGAUGCUUUAAGCAGAGGAAACAGAGAAAGUUAAAAGCUGUGAGACUGAAAGUAACUUGCAACGUUUGAACAGCAGCAAGAAGAUCUGUGGCCCCAGACUGAGGUGAGAAAGUUGGCAAAACAGAAAAUGGGGUUAGAAGUGGAACCAAGGAACCGGUCCUAUAAAAUCAUGAUGGUCCUGAGAAGGACCAGGGACAGGCAGAGGUGUGUUUAAGAAAGGGAAGACAAAAGUAUACACGGCACUCAAGAGAGUGCAUGUGCACUUAGAAAAAGAAAGGAAGUCUCAGCCAAUGUUUGGCCCCUGUCUUCUAAGAACUCUUCAGGAAGUUUACCAGGCAUGCUCACAGUCUGUUCUGACUGUAGCCUGGCUUCCCCUCCCCACCCCACCCCACCAUACAACUCCCAGCAACAGACAGCACUCAGAGAAUCUCCAGAGAGUGAAGGGCCCCAAAGCUUUGACUCUCCUUGCUUCUCGGUGAAUCCCACUCUGAGAUAUCACUGGAGGACGGACAGAGAGGAAAGACAUUUGGAACAGGAAAUAAUGACAAGGAAAAAAGUCUGGAGGAUGGAGCAAGAUGGCAGAAUAGAAGGUUCCACUGAUCAUCCCCCUGCAAGAACACCAAUUUAAAAACUAUCUACACAAAAAACACCUUCUCAAGAACCAAAACUCAGAUAUAGAAGACACUAUCCUAACAUUUGUAUGAAAGCACAAAACACCCAGAAGAGCCAAAAUUAUUCUAAGCAAAACCACCAACCAACCAACCCACCAAAACUGGAGGAAUCCCAUUGCCUGACUUCAAAUUAUACUACAACAGAGCUACCAUAACCAAAACAGCAUGGUUCUGGCAUAAACACAGAUACAUAGACCAAUAAAACCGAAUACUCAGAAACAAAUCCACAUACCUACAGUGAACUCAUUUUCUACAAAGGUGCAAGGAACAUACACCAGGGAAAAGAUCGUCUCUUCAAUAAGCUGUACUGGGAAAAGUGGAUAUCUAUAUGAAGAAAAAUGAAACUAGUCCCGUCUCUCGCCAUAUACAAAGAUAUAGUCAAAAUGGACUAAAGACUUUAAGAACUCAAACUAUGAAACUACCAGAAGAAAACGUUGGAGAAAAUCUCCAGGAUAUUUGUCUGGGCAAAUAUUUCUUGAGUAAUACUCCAUAACACAGGCAACCAAAGCAAACAUGGACAAAGGAGAGCACAUUAUGUUAAAAAGCUUCUGCACAGUGAAGGAAAUAAAUCAACGAAGAGACAUCCCACAAAAUGGAAGAAAAUGUUUUCAAACUACACACCUGACAAGGAAUUAAUAACCACAAUACAUAGGGAGCUCAAAUAAAUCUAUAGGAAAAAAUCUAAUAAUCUGAUUUAUAUAUUGAUAAAAGAUUGAAUAGACAUUUCUCAAAAGACAACAUACAAAUCAAAAACAGGCACAUAAAAAGUGCUCAACAUUGAUCAGAGAAAUGCUGAUCAAAGCUACAAUGAGAUACCAUCUCAUCCCAAUUAAAAUGGCUCUUAUACAAAAGACAUGCAAAAAUAAAUGCUGGUGAGGACAUGGAGAAAAGGGAACCCUCAUAAACUCUGUGGGAAUGUGAAGUUGCAUUUAAAGUUGUAUUUAAAGGUGCAACAGAGAACAGUUUGGAGGUUCCUCGAAAAAACUAAGAAUAGAGCUAACGUAUCAUCCAGCAAUCCCGCUGCUGGGUAUAUACCCAAAAGAAAAGAAAUCAAUAUACUGAAAAGACAUCUACACUUCCAUGUUUGUUGCAGCUCUGUUCACAAUAGCUAAAAUUUGGAAGCAACCUAUGUGUCCAUCAACAGAUGAAUGGGUAAAGAAAAUGUGGUACUUAUACAUGAUAGGUACUAUAUAGCCACAAAACAUAAUGAGAUCCUG
RNAcentral lists this long non-coding RNA (5808 nucleotides) under Homo sapiens (human). Its description in RNAcentral is "HSALNT0299670". Lineage: Eukaryota; Metazoa; Chordata; Mammalia; Primates; Hominidae. The record is from RNAcentral.